CACAGCUUUUAGCACCCUCAACUCAAUGGCAAAUGACACUACCAAAGACCUCAACCUAUGGAAGUCCCAUUGCAACAAAAAUGUGGAGUUCUCUGGUACUGAAACAGAACAAGAAAGGAGCUGCUAAAAGCUCUGGCAAGUUUAAAGUGGUUGCCUUGUCUGAAAACAGCACUGUCAACAGGCUAGAGAACUUACUAAACAUGGACGUCACUCCAUACACCGACA
This 225-nucleotide long non-coding RNA is filed under the name Gossypium barbadense (sea-island cotton). Its description in RNAcentral is "long non-coding RNA (GBAR_LNC001088)". Lineage: Eukaryota; Viridiplantae; Streptophyta; Magnoliopsida; Malvales; Malvaceae. The record is from RNAcentral.